This 530-nucleotide ribosomal RNA is filed under the name Stenotrophomonas maltophilia. RNAcentral describes it as "bacterial SSU rRNA". It matches the Rfam family "Bacterial small subunit ribosomal RNA", at positions 22 to 541 of the family's 1533-position model. The record is from RNAcentral. Lineage: Bacteria; Pseudomonadati; Pseudomonadota; Gammaproteobacteria; Lysobacterales; Lysobacteraceae.
GCUCAGAGUGNACGCUGGCGGUAGGCCUAANACAUGCAAGUCGAACGGCAGCACAGGAGAGCUUGCUCUCUGGGUGGCGAGUGGCGGACGGGUGAGGAAUACAUCGGAAUCUACUCUGUCGUGGGGGAUAACGUAGGGAAACUUACGCUAAUACCGCAUACGACCUACGGGUGAAAGCAGGGGAUCUUCGGACCUUGCGCGAUUGAAUGAGCCGAUGUCGGAUUAGCUAGUUGGCGGGGUAAAGGCCCACCAAGGCGACGAUCCGUAGCUGGUCUGAGAGGAUGAUCAGCCACACUGGAACUGAGACACGGUCCAGACUCCUACGGGAGGCAGCAGUGGGGAAUAUUGGACAAUGGGCGCAAGCCUGAUCCAGCCAUACCGCGUGGGUGAAGAAGGCCUUCGGGUUGUAAAGCCCUUUUGUUGGGAAAGAAAUCCAGCUGGCUAAUACCCGGUUGGGAUGACGGUACCCAAAGAAUAAGCACCGGCUAACUUCGUGCCAGCAGCCGCGGUAAUACGAAGGGUGCAAGCGU